This is a long non-coding RNA of Misgurnus anguillicaudatus (oriental weatherfish), 1459 nucleotides long. RefSeq lists it as uncharacterized. NCBI's taxonomy places the organism in Eukaryota, Metazoa, Chordata, Actinopteri, Cypriniformes, Cobitidae. The record is from RefSeq and is a predicted model, not a curated record.
UCCAAAGGAAAAGCAAAAUUUACUUUCAUCAGAGAACAUAACUUUGGACCACUCAGCAGCAAUCCAGUCCCUUUUGUCUUUAGCCCAGGCGAGACGCUUCUGACGCUGUCUGUUGUUCAAGAGUGACUUGACACAAGAAAUGCGACAGCUGAAACCCAUGUCUGUCAUAUGUCUGUGCCAAGUGGUUCUUGAAGCACUGACUCCAGCUGCAGUCCACUCUUUGUGAAUCUCCCCCCAAUUUUUGAAUGGGUUUUGUUUCACAAUGCUCUCCAGGGUGCGGUUAUCCCUGAAAAAAGUGCUUGUACACUUUUUCCUACCACAUCUUUUCCUUCCCUUCGCCUUUUUAUUAAUAUGAUUGGACACAGAGCUCUGUGAACAGCCAGCCUCUUUUGCCAAGACCUUUUGUGUCAUCUGUCAAGUCAGCAGACUUCCCCAUGAUUGUGUAGCAUACAGAACUAGACUGAGAGACCAUUGAAAGGCCUUUGCAGGUGUUUUGAGUUAAUUAGCUGAUUAGCGUGUGGCACUAGGUGUCUUCAAUAUUGAACCUUUCACAAUAUUCAUAUUUUCUGAGAUACUGAAUUUGGAAUUUUCCUUAGUUGUCAGUUAUAAUCAUCAAAAUAAAAAAAUAAACAUUUAAAAUAUAUCAGUAUGUGUGUAAUUAAUGAAUGAAUAUAAUAUACACGUUUCACUUUUUGAAUGGAAAUAGUGAAAUAAAUAAAUUUUUUGAUGAUAUUCUAAUUAUAUGACCAGCACCUGUAUAAUAACCAAUGGUAUUUAGCAUCCUUAAUUGUGAAGUAUUUUAAUGUAUGUAAAUUAUAUUGCACAAAACAGUGACAUAUACUGCCUAGCAUGGCCUUUUGUGUCAUACAGGUUUUUAUUGACCUAAGGGUGAAUAAUUUUUUUGUUAAGUGAACUAUUUCUUUAUUUCUUCAUACUUAUACCCUAAGUCAACCAAUUACUAUCCAUGCCUGUGUGCACACUUGAAAUUGACAAUGUGUUUUACUUUUAAUAGUAGCUUUAGUCCUGUGGGCUUGUGUUCAAUGAGUGCUGACACGCUCAUGUAGUUCACAUAUGUGUGUGUGUGAUUUGACUUCCUCACUGUGUAAAUUGAAUUGCAUAUUUUUGAUUUCUUUUCUGACCCAGGUAAAUGUAUUCCAGGGCUGUCUCGUAGGCGGUGAAGUGCCGCAUUUAUCUGAUGAUAGAUGGCAAACACUUGCAGGUCACAAUACAAUUCCAGGAGCCCAGGUCUAAAAAAAUCGAAGUGGACCAUAGAUGAUUGAAUUCAGGAGGCCUGAAAUUACUAGUGGUACUAUGCGUGCAUGUAAGCUCCUGUAUGACUCCCAGCAGCACUUUGAUGGUUUCUUGGCUAGAACUGAUCAGAGCCUCCAUGGCUUCAAGCCUGGCUUUUACAUUUCCAUCUGCCCCGGGGAGAGCAAUCAGCUGCCCCCCUGAGCCCUGC